RNAcentral lists this ribosomal RNA (231 nucleotides) under Bacteroidota bacterium. RNAcentral's name for it is "Bacteroidetes bacterium (marine metagenome) partial 23S ribosomal RNA". It matches the Rfam family "Bacterial large subunit ribosomal RNA", at positions 2681 to 2925 of the family's 2925-position model. The record is from RNAcentral. Lineage: Bacteria; Pseudomonadati; Bacteroidota.
GUACGAGAGGACCGUGUUGGACAGACCGCUAGUGUACCUGUUGCGGCGCCAGCUGCAUCGCAGGGUAGCUAUGUCUGGAAGAGAUAAGUACUGAAAGCAUCUAAGUACGAAGCUCGCCCCAAGAUGAGAUCUCCCUUAAGGGUCGUCCCAGACCAGGACGUUGAUAGGCUGCAGGUGUAAAGGCAGUAAUGUCAAAGCCGAGCAGUACUAAUUACCCGUGAACUUUCUGCA